ACGCUCGACACCUACGGAGGCAGCAGUGGGGAAUAUUGCACAAUGGGGGAAACCCUGAUGCAGCGACGCCGCGUGGAGGAAGAAGGUCUUCGGAUUGUAAACUCCUGUUGUUGGGGAAAAAGAGGAUGGUACCCAACAAGGAAGUGACGGCUAACUACGUGCUAGCAGCCGCGGUAAUCUGAGGCGGGCUGGCAAGGC
RNAcentral lists this ribosomal RNA (198 nucleotides) under uncultured bacterium. RNAcentral describes it as "partial 16S ribosomal RNA". It matches the Rfam family "Bacterial small subunit ribosomal RNA", at positions 328 to 539 of the family's 1533-position model. The record is from RNAcentral.